Non-coding RNA from Petromyzon marinus (sea lamprey), 3722 nucleotides. Lineage: Eukaryota; Metazoa; Chordata; Hyperoartia; Petromyzontiformes; Petromyzontidae. The record is from RefSeq and is a predicted model, not a curated record.
UCUCUAAAUUCCACCUGAUAAGCCACUUCAUUCAGCGAUCACUUGUGGUCAGAUCGCUUCUGAAAAAGAGCUCUAUAGCUCAGUGGGCCUUACCUGGAAAAUUUUAAAAUAAUUGUAUUUUUAGUUCAACAGAGGAGGAAUUUUUAAAAUACACAAACACUCUCCUGAAGUCCUCUCUUUGUGGUUAGCAGACCUCAACAUUCGUAUUUAGCUCCCGAAUCAUAUUGCCAUGAGGUGCAAUAAUAUAAUUCAUUAAAAUGCAAGUUGCAUUUUUAAACAUAUCAGAUACCUGGUAAAAAACAAUUAAAGCUAGGAGUAGAGCGGAAUGGAGCGUUAUAAACGUUGGCUAAUGAACAGUUGCUAAUUUUAAGAUGGCAAUUAUACGAUUGCUGCACCAUUAUUUCUUUUUUUCCCCGUCAUUUUCCUCCAAUCUGAUCCCAACUGGGCUAUUGGCAUCACGAGAGACGAAAAAUCCAUUCCGACUUCUCGCGUGGCAUUUCAGCCCUUCGUGGGGUGGAAUGGCCCCACAAAAGAGGACAUUGUGGACAACCUUAGAGGUCCCCAUCAAGUGACUACUGAACGCACAACUAGAGGGGGGGGGGAGGGGGAAGCAUUGUCCCACUCGCUUUGCAUACGAGAGUGAGGAUCGUUGAAUAACAGUUAAACCGAUGUUGUAAAUUGAGCUCGGAGCUAGGAUUUAGUGAAAUUGCUUCACCGUUAUUAAUGUGUCACAGUAAAUGCAGUUGCAUCAAAUUGCUUUAUUUACUCAGUUUGUAGUUAUGAUUUUAACUACUGUAACCCUACGUCUUUUUUUUACUCGAGGAGGACCAAAGUAGGUGAGUUUUAAGAGAGCAAUAGAGUAAGUAUGUUGUUGACAUCUGCAUUUUUGGAGUGUUGGGAUUUUUUCCGGGUACUUCAGUCUCUUCCGACGCACAAAACAACUGACUAGCCAAUCAAAGGCGGGCCCUCUCGGAAGAGUCCUGACACUCGUUGAGGCUUUGCUUAGAAAAUAAUGUUUUUUUUUAUUAACCCCACGUAAAAAAAAGCACAUUGAAGAGUCACUUGUCUUCGAGAGUUCGCGGUGUCACGAUUCGCACACUUGACUCGCAAUCCGGAGGUCACCGGCUUACUUUGAACUCCCGGCGCAAGUCAAAACAAUGGGGCAGGUAUCUCAAUUCCUCCCUCCUGUCCCAACGUCCCCCCACCAUCACCUCUAUCCAUCCUACACUAUAAAUGGUAGCACCACAGUUGGUCGAUGGGCAGAUCGCGAGUGGUGGGUAUAAAUUGUGGGGCUUUUCCCACCUCCGUGAAGGUGGAAGAGUGGACGAAAAUAUCCUACACAGAGGGCCUCUCGAGCAGAGACCCAUCCACCAGCAGUGACGUGAGCCAGCAAUUGCAGGGCUACACUUUUACCUUGUAGACCAGGAGUCCGCUCCAGAGCGCUGGCACUGUUUUCAGCAUCAGCGGCUUUUUCCGCGGGGCUAACAGUGGGUGGCAUUGUUUACUCUCGUAUCAAUUCACUGCUUAGUUUAUAGUCGAGUCAAAGCUGCGUGUGAUAGAUUCAAAUCUUGGGGAGAAUGCUUAAUGAGGCCACGAAGAAGAGCUUUUGGCUCUCACCCUUCGUCUUUGAGAUGUAAGGGGGGGGGGGGGGGGAGACAUCCCUCCCCCGCUUCUGUGAGCACUUUGCGUGCAUUGAGCUUUGUGCAGAUUGCUUUACCCGUCGCUGAGACGUGUGCGUUGUGCGAGUUCGCGCUGAGCGUAAUUGAGCCGUCUCGUCCGUGUUGAUGUAUUAGGCCCUCCCUGUUCAGAUUUUUUUUCCCGGCUGGUUGCAAACGUUAAACGCUUUUGGUGAUUUAUUACCCUUUCGCGUCCUCGUCGUCAUGUAUAUAUGCAUGCACGUUGAACUUCUUUCGCACCGUACGUCGCCAACCGUGCUAAUCGGAGGUGCGGGGGAAUGACAACAAACUAAACACAAAAAAAGCAAUUCUAAAGAUACGUGGUUUCAAUAUAGAUUUUAAAGUGCAUACAUAGUUCCAGUAGUUUCUUAAUGUCUGAAGGAAGAGCGUUCCAGACGGUCGCAGCAGCAUAUAUGAAAGCGGACGAUGCAGUGACCGUCUUUGUUCGAUGGCUUGCCAAAAGCCGCUGUGAGGAUGACCGGAGUUCGUGUCAUGGUCUAUGCAUGUCCAGCCCUGGUCAAUGCACUGCUGGAUGAAGGCCUGCCCCCACAAGCCCGCUGCCAUCUCUCACGAUCGUGCAGUGUGAACAAUCCACCCAGCGCCUGCGCACGAGCGCAUCUCGUCGUUUAGUCUCCACGGUGGACGUCCCCUGGGACACGUUCCAUUUUCUUGGCCGCCACCCUGUCGUGAUUCUCGACCGUGUUGGCCCGCCAUCCCUUCUGCCAAAAUGUCUUGCCCAAAGCCCACUCAUUCUUAACGUUUUGCGGGUGUAAAUGGAUAACCCGUUCCAAAUGGAUAACCCGUUCCAAAUUGGAUAACCGACGAUAACCAUGUGUCAACUUCGGCGGUGGAUGCAUUUGCCCACCAGUGCGGUGAUGGCAUUAUUGGCGGGUUACCAAAUAAUAAUACAGUAAUAAUAAUGUCAACUUGUGAUGUGCCGCACAACGUUCACUAAGUCUCAUAGAAUGAGAGGACGACUGGGGAAGCGCAUGGAAACCACAGACACUCGGGAAGGUGGCCACGCGAUGAGCCGGCACAAACGAUUGCCCAAGCUCUGCGGUUCUCGAUAUUUUAAGGUGUUAACGGCUAAUUCAUGAGAGUUUACAUGAUGGAGGAAGUCGGAGAGUCCCUGGAGAAAAGCCACGCGUGCAAGGGGGAAACGCUCUAUCCCAUACAGACGGAAAAAGUGGAGUCCACUUUUUUUUUCUGUGCCGCGUUCUCCUCGACACCCAGGGGAAGGGAGUUUGACAACAUUUGCGUGAUCCACCAACCCUCGCCUCCUCAGGCAUGCACAGCCACCACCGACCGGAUAAUAUUUGUAUUUAAAUUAUUAUAUAUCAACUUGCUUCACCAGUUAUUGCGGAGUUGAUAAUUUGUGAUUGUACCCCCCGAACUCGAGAAGUCAGUUUCCACCCAACCUGACCCCCAAACUCCUUCACGCUUCCUCUUUAAUCGCCAUUCCAGGUCUAUCAAUCUUGCCUGUCCGCGUGCCAAUUAUUACAAAAAGUGUGUCGGUUUGCGUGUGCCUGCCAAUGUAAUGGAUAAGAAAAAAAAUUAUAAUCAGUAUCUGAAAAAAAUCCAUCCCUGGUAUGGAAUUUUAACUCCAGCAGAGAGGGUUGGAUCUGCCCAAUCCGAGCCGUGUCCACACGCACCUGUAGAGGCAGACUGCAUUAGGUUUGAGGCGUGUUGCCGAUGUGCGUUCUCGAGUGGCUAAUUUAACUCUCAUCAAUUUUGUACACGGUUUUUUUUGUACUUUAGAUUUGUUUUUUCUACAUUUGUUGCGCGUCUACAAUUGCUGUUUAUUUUAGGAUGCUAUUACGGUAUUUUAUUACGCCCGGGUGAAUUUUCAAUUAACAUUCACAUGCUGGUGUUCGUCGUUGUAUGCGUUUGCUGUGUGGUACCACAACGCGUGCUGCAGCUAUAAAGUCGCAGGUAUGGUCCCGAGUAACGCAUUGCACACUGAUUAUUUGGUGAUGCCGCCGCUGCUUGCGUUGACGAUUAAAAACCAAACUCAAUACAUUCAUCAAUAACACCGUGGCCGUAAAA